ACUGAAAUAUGACCCCAUGGCGACGAAAUUUUGGAAGAUAUUCAAUUCACUGAAACAUAAACCCAUGGCGACCCGGGUACUCCGGCCCAAAGUCCAAAGCGGGAAGGCGAGGUAUAAGCCGUUUGGGCUAUGGAGCGCGGCCACUGCAACUGCAGUGAAUUGAUUUAGAUUUUAGAGAGAGAGAGAGGAAAGGAGUGAUCGAUUGACAUUUUAGAGAGAGAGAAGAGAGGAAUGCUUCUUCGUGUCUCAGAGGAUGGGAGCAAGAGGCGUCAUGGCUUCUUGGACAAUUACAGGCAGCUUCACCAAGCUCUUCUUGAUCUGCAGAGAGCUGCAGAUCAUAUAUUUGACACUGUGAUUCAAAGAACUGAAAAGGAGCAGCAAAAAUUAAAUGCUGUUUUGCAGAGAAUUGACAAUGCUAAGAUCAAGAUUGAUGCUUUAUCACAUACAAAGAGAGCAGCUACUGUGAGAUCUAGUUCAAGUUAUCCCUUUGUAGGCGAGGAGGAUUUUAAGCCUUUGUUUGGAUGCACAGAUGGUACUAAUGACUUAGAAUUUCCUAUAGCGAAGUUGCUAUUGAAUGGAGGUUUGAAUAAGGAUUUAGGGGAAGAUGGCACACUUGAGCUUUUUCAGUUUUUCUCGGAGACAACAUCUGAACAUAUCCCAAAGGAGGUGAAGUCAAAGGGAGAUGCUGAACCAUUACAAAGGAGUGGAAUGUUUUUGGUGAAUCAACCGCCACAUCCUUUGAUCAAGUUGCCUCAUGAGAGUUUAUUGAGGGCGGAGAGUAAUAGCAGAGGUGUUCCUUCAUCCAUCCAAAAGCAUCAACUGCUGCCGCCACCACCGCCUAGUUUACUUCCUCAAGCUUCGAGACUAAAUUCAAAAUCAGAAGGUUUUGCAUUUAAAUCUGCAAAACAGAAGGGAUCUAUCAGAUUGCCAAACCCCCUCCUGGACCUUCCUGCAGUUUCUGAAACAACACGAAAUGGUGGUGGUGAUGGAUCGCAAACAAUAACAGAAAACAUAAACACACACACUCCAUCAACUCAAACAUUGCCCUUUUUAGCACCAUCACCUCCCCUUCCUCCACCUCCUCCUUCACUAGCCACAACAUCGUCCAUCAAGGAGCAUGAUGCUACUGAAACCUCUAAGUCUGUGAAGACACACGAGGUCAAUCCACCACGUAUUUCAUCAUUACCUUUUGUAGAUUCCAAAAGAGCUGCCCUUCUUGUUUCUAUACGUAACCCUGGAAUAGUUCUCAGAAAGGAUGGCACCACAAAUUUCCAAGGCGUUUUUCCCCUGAUCAUGUUUUGCAAUGCUGUUACUUCACUGAAAGGGAGUUUUUUGUUUAAAUAAGAGGCCUGAAUAAAUCAGUUACUUAUAGGAUAUAUGGUACCUUCUAGGAGGUCUCUUCUUUACCAUCUUUAACUCUAAGUCAAUACAUGGGGAAUAUUACGUCUUCAUAUGAACAAGAGGCUCAACUGUUAAAGGAAAACUGGGUUCUAACUGAUCCACUGUGUUAUUCAUCUCGGGUUAAAUUUUUGUAUGCAACGAGAUUGAAUGCCACAUCAAGUUAACCUGGUUUUCCAAAAUGUGAUGCUAUUUGAUAUUUCAUGGCAUCCACAAGAUUUUCCUUUACUCAGCCAUUUUGCGUGCUGUCUAUCUCAUUGUACCUUUAACAGACAGGUCACAUGCAACCUGAUUCAGAUGCAGUAGGUUCUUCUGCUUCACCAAAGAAAGUCAUCAAAUCUAGUGGAUCGGAAAACAGUCCUAUAGCUGUAAAACCCAAGUCGGUCAAUCUUCUUGCUGAGGUAGCAUCGUCCCUUAAAAUGAGAAGGCUUUUGAUGCAAGGUGGCUUCCAUGGUAAAGAGCAGGCUGAAGGUCCUGAUUACACUAGUAGUCCGUCCAAAAGCAGAUCGCAAGGACCGCUUCCAGAUGCAGAAUCAAAUGUGUCCAGUGAUCGUAGUGAAGAGGAUGAUUGGGAUGACUAGAUUGUCCCGAUUGAUUUCAACUAACAGGCUACUGCUGUGUACAUCCCUGUCAAAUCCACUAUUUGGAUAAAGAAAAAAAAGAAGAUCCAACUACAUUUGGGACGCAUUCUGCCGAGAGGGGGGGAGUGGCAUCUAUUCCUGUCAAUCUGCAAUCUGCAAUCUGCAGAAGCAGAUGCAUGCGGCCUGAAAUUAGGUCCGACCUACUUCCAUGUCAAUGGAUCUACAGAAGCAGAUGCAUGCGGCCUGAAAUUAGGUCCGACCUACUUCCAAGUCAACGGUAAAAACUUGUAGUUUAGCACAUGGGCUAUCCAAACACACCUGAAGGUAUUCCUCUAUUUAUGGUCAGGUUCAACUGCUAAUUUUUGUGUAAGCCUCACCAUGGUGGUCCAUCGAAACAGGCCCUUAGUGGUUAUUGAAUCUUAGAAUUUGCUCCAGAUAAAACUAAAUUUCUUCUUUUU
This is an RNA transcript of Amborella trichopoda, 2437 nucleotides long. RefSeq lists it as uncharacterized. NCBI's taxonomy places the organism in Eukaryota, Viridiplantae, Streptophyta, Magnoliopsida, Amborellales, Amborellaceae. The record is from RefSeq and is a predicted model, not a curated record.